This 406-nucleotide ribosomal RNA is filed under the name uncultured bacterium. RNAcentral's name for it is "bacterial SSU rRNA". It matches the Rfam family "Bacterial small subunit ribosomal RNA", at positions 28 to 429 of the family's 1533-position model. The record is from RNAcentral.
GACGAACGCUGGCGGCAUGCCUAACACAUGCAAGUCGAACGGAGAAAAGGAAGCUUGCUUUCUUUUCUUAGUGGCGGACGGGUGAGUAACGCGUGAGUAACCUGCCUUUCAGGAGGGGGAUAACGUUCUGAAAAGAACGCUAAUACCGCAUGAGACUACAGAGCUGCAUGGCUCAGUGGUCAAAGGAGCAAUCCGCUGAAAGAUGGACUCGCGUCCGAUUAGAUAGUUGGCGGGGUAACGGCCCACCAAGUCGACGAUCGGUAGCCGGACUGAGAGGUUGAACGGCCACAUUGGGACUGAGACACGGCCCAGACUCCUACGGGAGGCAGCAGUGAGGGGAUAUUGGGCAAUGGGGGAAACCCUGACCCAGCAACGCCGCGUGAAGGAAGAAGGCCUCGGUUGUAAC